UACGAAGGUGGCAAGCGUUGUUCGGAUUUACUGGGCGUACAGGGAGCGUAGGCGGUUGGAUAAGCCCUCCGUGAAAUCUCCAGGCUUAACCUGGAAAGUGCAGAGGGGACUGUUCAGCUAGAGGAUGGGAGAGGAGCGCGGAAUUCCCGGUGUAGCGGUGAAAUGCGUAGAGAUCGGGAGGAAGGCCAGUGGCGAAGGCGGCGCUCUGGAACAUUUCUGACGCUGAGGCUCGAAAGCGUGGGGAGCAAACAGG
This 253-nucleotide ribosomal RNA is filed under the name uncultured bacterium. RNAcentral describes it as "partial 16S ribosomal RNA". It matches the Rfam family "Bacterial small subunit ribosomal RNA", at positions 524 to 776 of the family's 1533-position model. The record is from RNAcentral.